UAGGUGCAUCAGUAUUUCAUUUCCUUGAACGAAAAAUCAAGUGUGCUGAUGUUCCCAAUGGUACUCAGAAAACUUAGGUUCGUGAAGGUUCCUUGCUCCUUGGCUUCAGAUAGUCAAAUUUGGGGGCAGAAAAUAAUUUUUCCUCUAGGUCACAAUGGCAAGGAUAGUGGUGGGGUAUGUGUGUGCAUGGGAGGUGAGAAGAGAUUGCCUCUAUAGUUUGGGGCAUGACAAGGAGCCUCCUUUAAGGAUCCUGUAAGCAUACAGAAACUAAUUAUUUCUCUGCCAGUACUGGCAGUGCCCUCACCUCCCAUUUUUAGUCCAUAACAUUCUGCAGGGUGUUUCAGGCAUUGUGCCUUAUAGCUGUAUGUAAAGACUAUAGUGUUGGGGAUUUUGGGGAUUCCUGGAAUAAAUGUUUGCCUGAAAAUACAUAUGGGACUGGACUUGAUGGUUCAGGAGGCUCCUUUCAGUCCGAUUUUUCUACACUCCUAAUUCUUUUCACUCCCCAUCAACCUCUUUCCUGAUUCUGGAUGGAAGCUGGGCCAACAGUAUGCCUUUUGGUUCAUUCAGUCAGACCCUUUGCAUUUUGCAGAAUGACUCAAUCAUUUCCUUUAGCCUUACUGAUUCAUAGAUUGUGAAGAUUGGAGAGCACAGAAACCAUUUUGAUCACGUCUUACUUUCUGCAUGAUACCGGCUGCACAACCCUCACCUGGUAACUUGUGAAUCCCAACACCCUGUGGAUGAACAAAAGCAUUUCAUCUUGCAAGACUGUUCUCCAUCUAUCUAAACUGCAGCAACUGGGAAGAUUUUUAAUAUAACCAGAGUGAGAAAGGAGAAAAAGCUGCUCCGUCCCAGCAGCUAGAACAAGAUAAAACUGGACAGAGCUUGACCUCCAGUUGGAGUCUGAAACCAAAUGAUGGACCCUACUGAAGUUCCAGGUGCAGCCCCAAUGAGAAAUCACGGUAUGCGUCAAGAAGGCCAGGCACCUUUAAUCCCCAGCAAAGUAGAUAACACUCAAUUCUAAAUUAUUUCAUAAAACACACUAACAAAAUGCAAAAGAAAGGAUGAUCUUGUGAAUAAUCAGGGCCUUCUGUCAAUAUUCCUAUACCAUCCUGGGCAAGUCAGUUUGCUUCCCUGCAUAUUAGGUUUCCUGUUUAUAGAAUGAAGAUGAUAAUAUUCGUCUACCUCACAGGAACACUGCCAGGAUAAAUUAUUCACGUAUGUGCAAUAUUCAGUUCAAUGAUGAUAAACACAAUAGGGAAUAAAGCCUAUAAAUAAUAAAAAGUACCCGUUGUAGUAA
This is a long non-coding RNA of Gavialis gangeticus (Gharial), 1297 nucleotides long. RefSeq lists it as uncharacterized. Lineage: Eukaryota; Metazoa; Chordata; Crocodylia; Gavialidae. The transcript has 2 exons. The record is from RefSeq and is a predicted model, not a curated record.